RNAcentral lists this ribosomal RNA (194 nucleotides) under uncultured bacterium. RNAcentral describes it as "partial 16S ribosomal RNA". It matches the Rfam family "Bacterial small subunit ribosomal RNA", at positions 338 to 524 of the family's 1533-position model. The record is from RNAcentral.
CCUACGGGAGGCAGCAGUGGGGAAUAUUGGACAAUGGGGGCAACCCUGAUCCAGCCAUGCCGCGUGUGUGAAGAAGGCUUUCGGGUUGUAAAGCACUUUCAGUGAGGAGGAAGGCUCAAAGGUUAAUACCCUUUGGGAUUGACGUUACUCACAGAAGAAGCACCGGCUAACUCCGUGCCAGCAGCCGCGGUAAU